Molecule: non-coding RNA, 460 nt
Organism: Cicer arietinum (chickpea)
Lineage: Eukaryota; Viridiplantae; Streptophyta; Magnoliopsida; Fabales; Fabaceae
Source: RefSeq, a predicted model, not a curated record
AAAAAUAAAAAAUAAAAAAUGGCCAUGCUAAAAUUUUGUAAAGUUUGAGCUUCAAUAGAAAAAAUACAUAAAAGCAUAAUAUCUGAGUUUUCUGUUAGUGUUAUUUGUGUCAUGGAAGCAAAAAUUAAUUACAUGGAUGUAGCGGUUGUUGAAGAUGCAAACAAGGUGAACUGCGGUCUCUAUGUUAUUUAUGGAAGGAAUAUUAGUGUGUUUAAGCUGUGAAAAAUACUGCUAUGUGUGUACAGAGCUCCUUGAACACCAUGGAAAUUUGGCAAAAGAAUCAUCAUGGAGAUUGGAGCAUAGAUUUAUGGGAAAAAGGUGCUAGAAUGAUAAAGAACCAUUGGUUAUACCCUUACUCUUUUUAAUUUAUUCUUUUUUUUAAUGUGUAUUAUAUUAUUGAAUUAUUCAAUUUUUGUUUUCAUUGUAGUGUACGAAUCAUUUCACUUAUAUAUUGUGAAAA